Salvia miltiorrhiza (redroot sage) is the source of this 724-nucleotide long non-coding RNA. RefSeq lists it as uncharacterized. The transcript is spliced from 3 exons. The record is from RefSeq and is a predicted model, not a curated record. NCBI's taxonomy places the organism in Eukaryota, Viridiplantae, Streptophyta, Magnoliopsida, Lamiales, Lamiaceae.
AUCUUAGAAUAAGAUAAAAAAAAAAAGACUCCCUCUCUCUCCCCCUCCCCUAUGGACGUCCCCUCCCCUCUCUCUCUCUCUUCCUCACUUUUCUUUUUCCUCCCUUAUCCACCAAUCAAGUGAGGAUACCCAAAGAUAUGCCUAAGAUCCUCAAGAUUGAGGGAAUAUCACAAAAGUCAAGAACACUUCCCCUUUUUCCCUUAAAGUGUCGGCCCUCCCCCCUUCUCUCCCUCACACUUUCUUCUUCUUCUUCUUCCUCCAUUUUGGCAAAGGAAAAUGCUUCCAAGACUCCACCUUUAUACACCCAAAAGCUAAGAAAUUCCUCAAACUUUCAAAGAUUCAAGGUUUAAGCAUCAAGUAGGGAAAAGCUUCAAGAAAUCCUAAGCAUCAUCUACUUCAUUUCUUUGAUCUUCUUGGAGCACGAGUGACAACCGACGUUAGAACGACGCCGAGCUCUACUUCUCCGACACCGAAGACAAGUUGAGCAGCUGACGGUGGUGAUGAAGUGACGAGCGAGACUUCUUUUGUCUCAGUAUUAUGUAUUAGUGAACUCUUGGGGUACAUGUCUUCAUACAUGUAAUUAGAACCCUUAUUCCGCUGCGUACUCAGAAAUCUUAUGUUAUUUUGGCUAAGUCGGAGUUAUCUGAACUUACUAGUUUAUUUGAGUCAAUAUGAUUAAACCUCCGUUACAUUAUAAAUGUUCCUUUUGUUAACAACAAUUAAA